Gallus gallus (chicken) is the source of this 612-nucleotide long non-coding RNA. The record is from Ensembl. Lineage: Eukaryota; Metazoa; Chordata; Aves; Galliformes; Phasianidae.
CAGCUCUUUCAGAGGAGUGAUUUUGUGGAACAGCAGGUAUAGGCUGUUGGAUGUAUGUUUAUAGAAGUGAGAACCAGUGAAUAGAAAAGAGCUCCUUCAGCUGUUGGUGUGAAUGAUGAGUUGGCAACCUGCAACACUUUGCAGAGAGGACAGGAAACGCUCAGGUCUAAUGUAGCAGUCUUCUAGGUCCUUCCAACCUGGCUGGAGCUGCCCCACUUCACAGUGAAGUUGCUUGGCUUUGGCUUGUAGGCUGUUGGGAGAGAACGAUGAUUUCCAGGCAGACAAGAGCCUCGUGGUAGGUAAGUCCCUGAGAUCACAAGGUUCUUCUUGGGAAGCUGGAGGUCUGCAGGUCCUGCAGCUCCUGCUGGCUGCAGGUGGAGGACAUUGUCUAGUUACUGAAUGGAUAAUUAAUGGUGGCUGUAAGGGACAGCACAUUGUGUUCUCUGGAACAGGGACUGUCUGGAUCAGGAAUGCUGUGUCUCCUGCUGGGAGGAGACUGAAAUAUGCCUAUGGAGGAGGAGACAUUGGCACAUUCUGUUCAGCUCUUGCCCAAGAAGAGAAAUGGAUCACCUCAGAAACCUGAGGGCUUGGAGGUUGUUGUUGUUUUUGAAG